RNAcentral lists this ribosomal RNA (364 nucleotides) under uncultured bacterium. RNAcentral's name for it is "bacterial SSU rRNA". It matches the Rfam family "Bacterial small subunit ribosomal RNA", at positions 29 to 385 of the family's 1533-position model. The record is from RNAcentral.
AACGAACGCUGGCGGCGCGCCUAAUACAUGCAAGUCGAGCGAGAAGACGUAGCAAUACGUUUGUAAAGCGGCGAACGGGUGAGGAAUACAUGGGUAACCUACCCUCGAGUGGGGAAUAACUAGCCGAAAGGUUAGCUAAUACCGCGUACGCUCCUUGGACUUCGGUUCAGGGAGGAAAGCGAUACCGUGGGUAUCGCGCUCUUGGAUGGGCUCAUGUCCUAUCAGCUUGUUGGUGAGGAACGGCUCACCAAGGCUUCGACGGGUAGCUGGUCUGAGAGGACGAUCAGCCACACUGGCACUGCGACACGGGCCAGACUCCUACGGGAGCAGCAGUAAGGAAUAUUGCGCAAUGGGCGAAAGCCUG